GACGAACGCUGGCGGCGUGCUUAACACAUGCAGGUCGAACGGAAAGGCCCUGCUUUUGUGGGGUGCUCGAGUGGCGAACGGGUGAGUAACACGUGAGUAACCUGUCCUUGACUUUGGGAUAACUUCAGGAAACUGGGGCUCAUACCGGGUAGGAGCUCCUGCUGCAUGGUGGGGGUUGGAAAGUUUCGGCGGUUGGGGAUGGACUCGCGGCUUAUCAGCUUGUUGGUGGGGUAGUGGCUUACCAAGGCUUUGACGGGUAGCCGGCCUGAGAGGGUGACCGGCCAAAUUGGGACUGAGAUACGGCCCAGACUACUACAGGAGGCAGCAGUGGGGAAUAGUGCAUUAUGGGCGGAAGCCUACUGCAGCAACGCCGCGUGCGGGAUGACGGGCUUCGCGUUGUAAACCGCUUCCGCCUGUGACGAAGCGUGAGUGACGGUAAUGGGUAAAGAAGCACCGGCUAACUACGUG
This 468-nucleotide ribosomal RNA is filed under the name uncultured bacterium. Its description in RNAcentral is "partial 16S ribosomal RNA". It matches the Rfam family "Bacterial small subunit ribosomal RNA", at positions 28 to 507 of the family's 1533-position model. The record is from RNAcentral.